AAUGAACGCUGGCGGCGCGCCUAAUACAUGCAAGUCGAGCGAGAAGACGUAGCAAUACGUUUGUAAAGCGGCGAACGGGUGAGGAAUACAUGGGUAACCUACCCUCGAGUGGGGAAUAACUAGCCGAAAGGUUAGCUAAUACCGCGUACGCUUCUUGGACUUCGGUUCAGGGAGGAAAGCGAUACCGUGGGUAUCGCGCUCUUGGAUGGGCUCAUGUCCUAUCAGCUUGUUGGUGAGGUAACGGCUCACCAAGGCUUCGACGGGUAGCUGGUCUGAGAGGACGAUCAGCCACACUGGCACUGCGACACGGGCCAGACUCCUACGGAGGCAGCAGUAAGGAAUAUUGCGCAAUGGGCGAAAGCCUGACGCAGCGACGCCGCGUGGGGGAUGAAGGUCUCGGAUUGUAAACCCCUUUCGGGAGGGAAGAUGAAUGGGUAACCAUUCGGACGUACUCCAGAAGCAGCCACGGCUAACUUCGUGCCAGCAGCCGCCGU
This 494-nucleotide ribosomal RNA is filed under the name uncultured bacterium. Its description in RNAcentral is "bacterial SSU rRNA". It matches the Rfam family "Bacterial small subunit ribosomal RNA", at positions 29 to 521 of the family's 1533-position model. The record is from RNAcentral.